AUGGCGGACAAGCUUCGUGAGCUCACUCACAGGUUCCGGGCCGCGCGGGCCGACGGCAGGCUUCGGCUCCCCUGGGACUGGGAGAAGCCGAUGCCGUACCGGGUGUUCUACUCGCCAAGUAAAGGGUGCAUCACCGUAACAGAUCCCUAUCCGGCCAGCCGAGACCCCAACGAAGGCAACCGGCACAGGGACAAGCCACCAAUGUCAACGCGCGUGAGGCGGGGACUCCAGGCUAUUGACCAAUGGCUUGAGCUACCAGACCUGGCCCGCAAGGUGCUUAUCAAGGGCGGUAAGAUUGUGGGCACUGGGGUGACAGCAGUUGGUGUCUGCCGCAUCGGCUACUUUGAGUUCAAGUGGCUCAGGGAGCAGGAUGGCUCUGAACCUGUCAGGGAUGGGUAUGAACAUGCAAGGGCAAGUGUCCUUUCCUACAUCCAGGGGCAGCCGUGCCAAGACCCCAGCGCCACGUUUAUCCAGAGCAUCAAGGACCUCUGCAACCCAUUCUACAGCUACAAGAAGCCCGCCAAUGAGGAACCCACCAAGAGCCCGACCAAGAAGCCUGUGGAGGGGAAGAGCACCAGGGAUAUAGAGGAGACGGCAGCAGCAGCAAAGGCCAAGAGGUUCUCUGAGUUCCAGAGGCAGAAGUUGGACCGUCUCGAACAUUCCAAGAGGAAAGGUGACAAGGACAAGGACAAGGAGAAGAGUCAGAGCAAGGGCAGUGCUGCUGGGCAGGGCCCUGAAGCGGCGCCGAAGAAGUAG
Molecule: ribosomal RNA, 756 nt
Filed under: Triticum aestivum (bread wheat)
Lineage: Eukaryota; Viridiplantae; Streptophyta; Magnoliopsida; Poales; Poaceae
Description: partial small subunit ribosomal RNA
Source: RNAcentral